Molecule: ribosomal RNA, 420 nt
Filed under: uncultured bacterium
Lineage: Bacteria
Description: bacterial SSU rRNA
Rfam family: Bacterial small subunit ribosomal RNA
Source: RNAcentral
GAGGAAUAUUGGUCAAUGGAGGCAACUCUGAACCAGCCAUGCCGCGUGUAGGACGAAUGUCCUCUGGGUUGUAAACUACUUUUAUUGGGGAAGAAACCCUCUUACGUGUAAGAGGCUGACGGUACCCAAGGAAUAAGGACCGGCUAACUCCGUGCCAGCAGCCGCGGUAAUACGGAGGGUCCAAGCGUUAUCCGGAAUCAUUGGGUUUAAAGGGUGCGCAGGCGGUAGUGUAAGUCAGUGGUGAAAUCUCUCGGCUCAACCGAGAAACUGCCAUUGAUACUGCAGUACUUGAAUACAGUUGAAGUAGGCGGAAUGUGUAGUGUAGCGGUGAAAUGCUUAGAUAUUACACAGAACACCGAUAGCGAAGGCAGCUUACUAAACUGAUAUUGACGCUCAUGCACGAAAGCGUGGGGAGCGAAC